UACGGAGGGUGCGAGCGUUGUCCGGAAUCACUGGGCGUAAAGGGCGCGUAGGCGGUGGCUUAAGCGUGCGGUGAAAGCCCGGGGCUCAACCCCGGGUCGGCCGUGCGGACUGGGUCACUCGAGCACUGUAGGGGCGGGUGGAAUUCCGGGUGUAGCGGUGGAAUGCGUAGAGAUCCGGAAGAACACCGGUGGCGAAGGCGGCCCGCUGGGCAGUGGCUGACGCUGAGGCGCGACAGCGUGGGGAGCAAACAGG
This 253-nucleotide ribosomal RNA is filed under the name uncultured bacterium. RNAcentral describes it as "partial 16S ribosomal RNA". It matches the Rfam family "Bacterial small subunit ribosomal RNA", at positions 524 to 776 of the family's 1533-position model. The record is from RNAcentral.